CCUACGGGAGGCAGCAGUAGGGAAUCUUCCACAAUGGGCGAAAGCCUGAUGGAGCAACGCCGCGUGGGUGAAGAAGGUCUUCGGAUCGUAAAACCCUGUUGUUAGAGAAGAAAGUGCGUGAGAGUAACUGUUCACGUUUCGACGGUAUCUAACCAGAAAGCCACGGCUAACUACGUGCCAGCAGCCGCGGUAAUACGUAGGUGGCAAGCGUUAUCCGGAUUUAUUGGGCGUAAAGGGAACGCAGGCGGUCUUUUAAGUCUGAUGUGAAAGGCUUCGGCUUAACCGGGGUAGUGCAUUGGAAACUGGGAGACUUGAGUGCAGAAGAGGAGAGUGGAAGUCCAUGUGUAGCGGUGAAAUGCGUAGAUAUAUGGAAGAACACCAGUGGCGAAAGCGGCUCUCUGGUCUGUAACUGACGCUGAGGUUCGAAAGCGUGGGUAGCAAACAGGAUUAGAUACCCUAGUAGUC
RNAcentral lists this ribosomal RNA (465 nucleotides) under uncultured bacterium. Its description in RNAcentral is "partial 16S ribosomal RNA". It matches the Rfam family "Bacterial small subunit ribosomal RNA", at positions 338 to 795 of the family's 1533-position model. The record is from RNAcentral.